RNAcentral lists this ribosomal RNA (355 nucleotides) under uncultured bacterium. RNAcentral's name for it is "bacterial SSU rRNA". It matches the Rfam family "Bacterial small subunit ribosomal RNA", at positions 28 to 352 of the family's 1533-position model. The record is from RNAcentral.
GACGAACGCUGGCGGCGUGCCUAAUACAUGCAAGUCGAACGCACUCUCGUUAGAUUGAAGAAGCUUGCUUCUGAUUGAUAACAUUUGAGUGAGUGGCGGACGGGUGAGUAACACGUGGGUAACCUGCCCUAAAGUGGGGAUAACAUUUGGAAACAGAUGCUAAUACCGCAUAAAACCUAGCACCGCAUGGUGCAAGGUUGAAAGAUGGUUUCGGCUAUCACUUUAGGAUGGACCCGCGGUGCAUUAGUUAGUUGGUGAGGUAAAGGCUCACCAAGACCGUGAUGCAUAGCUGACCUGAGAGGGUAAUCGGCCACACUGGGACUGAGACACGGCCCAGACUCCUACGGGAGGCAGC